This 253-nucleotide ribosomal RNA is filed under the name uncultured bacterium. RNAcentral describes it as "partial 16S ribosomal RNA". It matches the Rfam family "Bacterial small subunit ribosomal RNA", at positions 524 to 776 of the family's 1533-position model. The record is from RNAcentral.
AACGUAGGACGCAAGCGUUAUCCGGAAUUACUGGGCGUAAAGCGCGUGUAGGUGGUUUGAUAAGUCACUGUUGAAAUCUCCCGGCUAAACUGGGAGAGGUGCGGUGAGACUGUCAGGCUAGAGUACGGGAGAGGGAUGCAGAAUUCCGGGUGUAGUGGUGGAAUGCGUAGAGAUCCGGAGGAAUACCAGAGGCGAAGGCGGCAUCCUGGCCUGAAACUGACACUGAGACGCGAAAGCAUGGGGAGCGAACGGG